Molecule: long non-coding RNA, 335 nt
Organism: Mastomys coucha (southern multimammate mouse)
Lineage: Eukaryota; Metazoa; Chordata; Mammalia; Rodentia; Muridae
Exons: 2
Source: RefSeq, a predicted model, not a curated record
GAUUUGUCCAAUGAGAAAGGAUAUUCACCAAGAAGCCACACACCAGACAGAUGGAUGGAGCUAUGUAAUCAUUGAGGGAAGCAUGCGAUCCUCUCCCUUCACAAACCGCCAUGAGGAGCAGAACCAACGGCCUUUUGUCUGCGCUUAGAAGUGACUGUCAAGUUCAGAGGCUGAAUAUGUAUGAAGCGCCUCACAUGUAUGUAGGAGUGGAGCACUCUUAGACAGCAGGGUGUUGACAUCAUACAGAUGCUUUCCCAAGACAAGGUGAUGUUUCAUUUGUAUUGAAGUGGCAUUGUUUGUAAGUCUUCUACUGAGAAAUUUCAAUGUAUUAACCA